This 200-nucleotide long non-coding RNA is filed under the name Gossypium raimondii (Peruvian cotton). RNAcentral describes it as "long non-coding RNA (GRAI_LNC006298)". The record is from RNAcentral. Lineage: Eukaryota; Viridiplantae; Streptophyta; Magnoliopsida; Malvales; Malvaceae.
CCAAAAUCGUUGUGUUUCUUCUACAUGGCUUUCCUAUACAGAAAAUAUAAACACAAAAAAACUACAAGUCUAUUAUUAUUCCUACUCUUAACAAUUUAAAUAAAUUAAAAAUCAUCCAAAUUUAAUACAAUCUUUAAAAACAAAAAUUAAAAGUUCAGUCAUCCUCCUCAAAAUCCAUCUCAUCAUCUUCCUCCCCCUCC